AUGGGAGCUCGUCCUUAUACAGGGGGAAAUGGGAGCUCAUCCGUAUCUACAGGGGGAAAUGGGAGCUCAUCCGUAUCUACAGGGGGAAAUGGGAGCUCAUCCGUAUCUACAGGGGGAAAUGGGAGCUCAUCCGUAUCUACAGGGGGAAAUGGGAGCUCAUCCGUAUCUACAGGGGGAAAUGGGAGCUCAUCCGUAUCUACAGGGGGAAAUGGGAGCUCAUCCUUAUACAGGGGUAAUGGGAGCUCAUCCUUAUACAGGGGGAAAUGGGAGCUCAUCCUUAUACAGGGGGUAAUGGGAGCUCAUCCGUAUCUACAGGGGGAAAUGGGAGCUCGUCCUUAUACAGGGGGAAAUGGGAGCUCCUCCGUAUCUGCAGGGGGAAAUGGGAGCUCAUCCAUUUCUACAGGGGGAAAUGGGAGCUCGUCCUUAUACAGGGGGAAAUGGGAGCUCGUCCUUAUACAGGGGGGAAUGGGAGGUCAUCCGUAUCUACAGGGGGAAAUGGGAGCUCAUCCGUAUCUACAGGGGGAAAUGGGAGCUCAUCCUUAUACAGGGGGAAAUGGGAGGUCAUCCGUAUCUACAGGGGGAAAUGGGAGCUCAUCCGUAUCUACAGGGGGAAAUGGGAGCUCAUCCGUAUCUACAGGGGGAAAUGGGAGCUCAUCCUUAUACAGGGGGAAAUGGGAGGUCAUCCGUAUCUACAGGGGGAAAUGGGAGCUCAUCCGUAUCUACAGGGGGAAAUGGGAGCUCAUCCGUAUCUACAGGGGGAAAUGGGAGCUCAUCCUUAUCUACAGGGGGAAAUGGGAGCUCAUCCUUAUACAGGGGGAAAUGGGAGCUCAUCCUUAUACAGGGGGAAAUGGGAGCUCAUCCUUAUACAGGGGGAAAUGGGAGGUCAUCCGUAUCUACAGGGGGAAAUGGGAGCUCAUCCGUAUCUACAGGGGGAAAUGGGAGCUCAUCCGUAUCUACAGGGGGAAAUGGGAGCUCAUCCUUAUACAGGGGGAAAUGGGAGGUCAUACGUAUCUACAGGGGGAAAUGGGAGCUCAUCCUUAUACAGGGGGAAAUGGGAGCUCAUCCUUAUCUACAGGGGGAAAUGGGAGCUCAUCCUUAUACAGGGGGAAAUGGGAGCUCAUCCUUAUACAGGGGGUAAUGGGAGCUCAUCCUUAUACAGGGGGAAAUGGGAGCUCAUCCUUAUACAGGGGGAAAUGGGAGCUCAUCCUUAUACAGGGGGAAAUGGGAGCUAUAAUAAGAAUACUUAUUUUCCACCAUAAUUUGCAAAUAAAUUCAUUAAAAAUCCUACAAUGUGAUUUUCUGGAUUUUUUUCUCUCAUUUUGUCUGUCAUAG
RNAcentral lists this long non-coding RNA (1332 nucleotides) under Oncorhynchus mykiss (rainbow trout). Its description in RNAcentral is "lncRNA (ENSOMYG00000064161.1)". The record is from RNAcentral. Lineage: Eukaryota; Metazoa; Chordata; Actinopteri; Salmoniformes; Salmonidae.